RNAcentral lists this ribosomal RNA (645 nucleotides) under Lactobacillus johnsonii. RNAcentral describes it as "bacterial SSU rRNA". It matches the Rfam family "Bacterial small subunit ribosomal RNA", at positions 66 to 683 of the family's 1533-position model. The record is from RNAcentral. Lineage: Bacteria; Bacillati; Bacillota; Bacilli; Lactobacillales; Lactobacillaceae.
GAUGAUUUUAGGUGCUUGCACUAAAUGAAACUAGAUACAAGCGAGCGGCGGACGGGUGAGUAACACGUGGGUAACCUGCCCAAGAGACUGGGAUAACACCUGGAAACAGAUGCUAAUACCGGAUAACAACACUAGACGCAUGUCUAGAGUUUGAAAGAUGGUUCUGCUAUCACUCUUGGAUGGACCUGCGGUGCAUUAGCUAGUUGGUAAGGUAACGGCUUACCAAGGCAAUGAUGCAUAGCCGAGUUGAGAGACUGAUCGGCCACAUUGGGACUGAGACACGGCCCAAACUCCUACGGGAGGCAGCAGUAGGGAAUCUUCCACAAUGGACGAAAGUCUGAUGGAGCAACGCCGCGUGAGUGAAGAAGGGUUUCGGCUCGUAAAGCUCUGUUGGUAGUGAAGAAAGAUAGAGGUAGUAACUGGCCUUUAUUUGACGGUAAUUACUUAGAAAGUCACGGCUAACUACGUGCCAGCAGCCGCGGUAAUACGUAGGUGGCAAGCGUUGUCCGGAUUUAUUGGGCGUAAAGCGAGUGCAGGCGGUUCAAUAAGUCUGAUGUGAAAGCCUUCGGCUCAACCGGAGAAUUGCAUCAGAAACUGUUGAACUUGAGUGCAGAAGAGGAGAGUGGAACUCCAUGGGUAAAGGGG